UGGGGGAUAUUGCACAAUGGGCGAAAGCCUGAUGCAGCGACGCCGCGUGGGGGAUGAAGGCCUUCGGGUUGUAAACUUCUUUUGCUCUGAACAAGGCAUGCUAAUGGGUGUGUGGAGUGUAGGGGUUGAUUAGCGCCGGCUAACUACGUGCCAGCAGCCGCGGUAAUACGUAGGGCGCGAGCGUUGUCCGGAAUUAUUGGGCGUAAAGGGCUUGUAGGUGGCUGGUUGCGUCUGUCGUGAAAGCUCAUGGCUUAACUGUGGGUUUGCGGUGGGUACGGGCUGGCUUGAGUGCAGUAGGGGAGGCUGGAAUUCCUGGUGUAGCGGUGGAAUGCGCAGAUAUCAGGAGGAAUACCGGUGGCGAAGGCGGGUCUCUGGGCUGUUACUGACACUGAGGAGCGAAAGCAUGGGGAGCGAACAGG
Molecule: ribosomal RNA, 419 nt
Filed under: bacterium
Lineage: Bacteria
Description: partial 16S ribosomal RNA
Rfam family: Bacterial small subunit ribosomal RNA
Source: RNAcentral